This 2928-nucleotide ribosomal RNA is filed under the name Bacillus cereus. Its description in RNAcentral is "bacterial LSU rRNA". It matches the Rfam family "Bacterial large subunit ribosomal RNA". The record is from RNAcentral. Lineage: Bacteria; Bacillati; Bacillota; Bacilli; Caryophanales; Bacillaceae.
UUUGGUUAAGUUAGAAAGGGCGCACGGUGGAUGCCUUGACACUAGGAGUCGAUGAAGGACGGGACUAACGCCGAUAUGCUUCGGGGAGCUGUAAGUAAGCUUUGAUCCGAAGAUUUCCGAAUGGGGAAACCCACCAUACGUAAUGGUAUGGUAUCCUUAUCUGAAUACAUAGGGUAAGGAAGACAGACCCAGGGAACUGAAACAUCUAAGUACCUGGAGGAAGAGAAAGCAAAUGCGAUUUCCUGAGUAGCGGCGAGCGAAACGGAACAUAGCCCAAACCAAGAGGCUUGCCUCUUGGGGUUGUAGGACAUUCUAUACGGAGUUACAAAGGAACGAGGUAGACGAAGCGACCUGGAAAGGUCCGUCGUAGAGGGUAACAACCCCGUAGUCGAAACUUCGUUCUCUCUUGAAUGUAUCCUGAGUACGGCGGAACACGUGAAAUUCCGUCGGAAUCUGGGAGGACCAUCUCCCAAGGCUAAAUACUCCCUAGUGAUCGAUAGUGAACCAGUACCGUGAGGGAAAGGUGAAAAGCACCCCGGAAGGGGAGUGAAAGAGAUCCUGAAACCGUGUGCCUACAAAUAGUCAGAGCCCGUUAACGGGUGAUGGCGUGCCUUUUGUAGAAUGAACCGGCGAGUUACGAUCCCGUGCGAGGUUAAGCUGAAGAGGCGGAGCCGCAGCGAAAGCGAGUCUGAAUAGGGCGUUUAGUACGUGGUCGUAGACCCGAAACCAGGUGAUCUACCCAUGUCCAGGGUGAAGUUCAGGUAACACUGAAUGGAGGCCCGAACCCACGCACGUUGAAAAGUGCGGGGAUGAGGUGUGGGUAGCGGAGAAAUUCCAAUCGAACCUGGAGAUAGCUGGUUCUCCCCGAAAUAGCUUUAGGGCUAGCCUUAAGUGUAAGAGUCUUGGAGGUAGAGCACUGAUUGGACUAGGGGUCCUCAUCGGAUUACCGAAUUCAGUCAAACUCCGAAUGCCAAUGACUUAUCCUUAGGAGUCAGACUGCGAGUGAUAAGAUCCGUAGUCAAAAGGGAAACAGCCCAGACCGCCAGCUAAGGUCCCAAAGUGUGUAUUAAGUGGAAAAGGAUGUGGAGUUGCUUAGACAACUAGGAUGUUGGCUUAGAAGCAGCCACCAUUUAAAGAGUGCGUAAUAGCUCACUAGUCGAGUGACUCUGCGCCGAAAAUGUACCGGGGCUAAAUACACCACCGAAGCUGCGGAUUGAUACCAAUGGUAUCAGUGGUAGGGGAGCGUUCUAAGGACAGUGAAGUCAGACCGUAAGGACUGGUGGAGUGCUUAGAAGUGAGAAUGCCGGUAUGAGUAGCGAAAGACGGGUGAGAAUCCCGUCCACCGAAUGCCUAAGGUUUCCUGAGGAAGGCUCGUCCGCUCAGGGUUAGUCAGGACCUAAGCCGAGGCCGACAGGCGUAGGCGAUGGACAACAGGUUGAUAUUCCUGUACCACCUCUUUAUCGUUUGAGCAAUGGAGGGACGCAGAAGGAUAGAAGAAGCGUGCGAUUGGUUGUGCACGUCCAAGCAGUUAGGCUGAUAAGUAGGCAAAUCCGCUUAUCAUAAAGGCUGAGCUGUGAUGGGGAAGCUCCUUAUGGAGCGAAGUCUUUGAUUCCCCGCUGCCAAGAAAAGCUUCUAGCGAGAUAAAAGGUGCCUGUACCGCAAACCGACACAGGUAGGCGAGGAGAGAAUCCUAAGGUGUGCGAGAGAACUCUGGUUAAGGAACUCGGCAAAAUGACCCCGUAACUUCGGGAGAAGGGGUGCUUUCUUAACGGAAAGCCGCAGUGAAUAGGCCCAAGCGACUGUUUAGCAAAAACACAGCUCUCUGCGAAGCCGUAAGGCGAAGUAUAGGGGGUGACACCUGCCCGGUGCUGGAAGGUUAAGGAGAGGGGUUAGCGUAAGCGAAGCUCUGAACUGAAGCCCCAGUAAACGGCGGCCGUAACUAUAACGGUCCUAAGGUAGCGAAAUUCCUUGUCGGGUAAGUUCCGACCCGCACGAAAGGUGUAACGAUUUGGGCACUGUCUCAACCAGAGACUCGGUGAAAUUAUAGUACCUGUGAAGAUGCAGGUUACCCGCGACAGGACGGAAAGACCCCGUGGAGCUUUACUGUAGCCUGAUAUUGAAUUUUGGUACAGUUUGUACAGGAUAGGCGGGAGCCAUUGAAACCGGAGCGCUAGCUUCGGUGGAGGCGCUGGUGGGAUACCGCCCUGACUGUAUUGAAAUUCUAACCUACGGGUCUUAUCGACCCGGGAGACAGUGUCAGGUGGGCAGUUUGACUGGGGCGGUCGCCUCCUAAAGUGUAACGGAGGCGCCCAAAGGUUCCCUCAGAAUGGUUGGAAAUCAUUCGUAGAGUGCAAAGGCAUAAGGGAGCUUGACUGCGAGACCUACAAGUCGAGCAGGGACGAAAGUCGGGCUUAGUGAUCCGGUGGUUCCGCAUGGAAGGGCCAUCGCUCAACGGAUAAAAGCUACCCCGGGGAUAACAGGCUUAUCUCCCCCAAGAGUCCACAUCGACGGGGAGGUUUGGCACCUCGAUGUCGGCUCAUCGCAUCCUGGGGCUGUAGUCGGUCCCAAGGGUUGGGCUGUUCGCCCAUUAAAGCGGUACGCGAGCUGGGUUCAGAACGUCGUGAGACAGUUCGGUCCCUAUCCGUCGUGGGCGUAGGAAAUUUGAGAGGAGCUGUCCUUAGUACGAGAGGACCGGGAUGGACGCACCGCUGGUGUACCAGUUGUUCUGCCAAGGGCAUAGCUGGGUAGCUAUGUGCGGAAGGGAUAAGUGCUGAAAGCAUCUAAGCAUGAAGCCCCCCUCAAGAUGAGAUUUCCCAUAGCGUAAGCUAGUAAGAUCCCUGAAAGAUGAUCAGGUUGAUAGGUUCGAGGUGGAAGCAUGGUGACAUGUGGAGCUGACGAAUACUAAUAGAUCGAGGACUAACCAUAUAA